Molecule: ribosomal RNA, 198 nt
Filed under: uncultured bacterium
Lineage: Bacteria
Description: partial 16S ribosomal RNA
Rfam family: Bacterial small subunit ribosomal RNA
Source: RNAcentral
GUCUGCAACUCGACUGCAUGAAGCUGGAAUCGCUAGUAAUCGCGGAUCAGAAUGCCGCGGUGAAUACGUUCCCGGGUCUUGUACACACCGCCCGUCACACCAUGGGAGUCAGUAACGCCCGAAGUCAGUGACCGAACCGAGAGGACGGAGCUGCCGAAGGCGGGACGGAUAACUGGGGUGAAGUCGUAACAAGGUAUC